AACUUAAGCAUAUCAAAAGGCGGGAGGAA
RNAcentral lists this ribosomal RNA (29 nucleotides) under Gibellula clavispora. Its description in RNAcentral is "partial 28S ribosomal RNA". Lineage: Eukaryota; Fungi; Ascomycota; Sordariomycetes; Hypocreales; Cordycipitaceae. The record is from RNAcentral.